AUACAUUUCAAUGCCAGACACGCUUUUCAAAAAGUGAUAUCACCUAAAUUAAUAGGAUGCCCUUUUGAUUGUCUCAAUGAGACAAGUCUGUUUAACUUCACAGAGACUUAACCCAUAUCUAUUCAAACAUUUCCAAAUGGCUCUGUCUCUCUCUCUCUCUCCCCCUCUCUCUCUCUCUAAAAUGGUUCUCUCUCACUAGCACUAAUUAAGGAGCUGUGGAUGCAACCAGCAAUGAAGACUUCUUGGAGUUUAUAGAUCUACAGAGAGAUUGAUGCUUCUAAUCUCAACGAUUUCUUGUUCAAUCUGGAUCUCGAUUUCAAUUUGUGCACUAGGGCUUGGGAUUUAAUAUUUUCCUUCGAGAUUUUUCGAUUUCCCUUCGAGAUUUUUCGAUUUCCCUUAAUCUUGACCGAUCUAGGUCUUCGUUUUUCAUGGAUUCAGGUAUCCAGUCACUCGUGAUUUGGAGUUGCUGAGUUCACUUGAGAUACAGAGCUUUCAUGGGCUUGUUAUUCAUCGAGUCUGAUCUAGACUUUCUGUGAGUGAACUCAAGAUUCAGAGGUUUUCAUCACUACACAGUAACGAUCUGGAUCUGUGUUCCAUUUAAAUAAACUCUUACUUAGGUUUCGAUUUUCAUCGGCGAUCUAGGUUCUCAUCUCUUCCAUAAACGAUGGCUCGAGCUUGGUUUGGAUGAUUUGGAUCUGAUCUAGGGUUAUGUUUCUCUCAAAGUUGAAAAUGGACCUGAAUAGAACAGAGAGGCAUAUACUGAAGGAGAUGGGUUUCAUUUGCCAUGUUGAACAUCCUCAUAAUUUAUAUCACACUAUCUUGCAGCCCUUGAGACAUCCCCAGAACUGAGACAAGGAGCUUGGAAUCUUGCAAAUGACAGGUAAGGUUCCUCUUGCUGCAAAUCAAAGGUUUUAUAUAAGGAAAAUUGUUGGUAUGCAGUUAAUUUGCGUUGCUCUGGUUGGAAAUUUUUGUGGUAAUCCUCUGGUUCUCACUUCGAGCUAGCUUUCAAAACUACACUAAUUCAUUUUCAAAAUAACAUCAGUCAACAUUCAUUUUCUUUUUUCACUUGCUUUAGCACUUGUUGAAUUGAACACUAUUAUAACAUUUAAUAUUUACUAUUCAUCUUUGACUAUAUAACACUGUUUCAUUUAUUGUUUUGUCAGUUACUUGACUUAAUUCCACAAUGCUAUUACUUAUUCUAGCUGGCACUUACAUAUAUUGAAGAUACACAAUUCAUGGGUGUGUACAUGGGUGUAUACAUAUCAAAGUGAUGAAUCUAGAAAAUAAUUUUAAUAGUGAAAUGUACAGUUCAUAUAUUAUGCACCAACACUAAGAUUUCAAAAUAUUAGUUCUUCUUCUUUGUAGUUCAUUGAACAUUAUUCUGAUUUUUAUUUCUGAUCUCUUUGACUCUUUUAAGUGUUCCUCAAUAAUUUAGAGACAUUGGUACAAACACCACCAGAAUUUAUGACAGCUGGUUGGGAGCAGAUCUAAAGAAUUGAAGUGCUACCAAAAUGUGGAUGGGCAGCCCAUAGUAAUGCAGACAAGUAAUUACACAGUGAUCAUGUUUAAUAAUUAGGAUUUGGUUGAUUAUGUAAUGUGUCAAUAAUAAUGUAAUAUUUAGAUAAAUAAAUGAUAGGACACUGUGUGUGAUAAAUAAAGAAAGAGGGUGAUGGUGAUUGUAGUUGCAGACUAGACUAGACUAUAUACACAAGAACUUAUGUGUGCAUAUCUAUCUUAUCUGUAGAUAUGUGAUGAUGGUGCUGGACAUCUAUAAUAUAGAUAUGCAUUGGUAAAAAUAUUGUGAAAAUCACAUG
Molecule: non-coding RNA, 1814 nt
Organism: Camellia sinensis
Lineage: Eukaryota; Viridiplantae; Streptophyta; Magnoliopsida; Ericales; Theaceae
Source: RefSeq, a predicted model, not a curated record